Molecule: ribosomal RNA, 497 nt
Filed under: uncultured bacterium
Lineage: Bacteria
Description: partial 16S ribosomal RNA
Rfam family: Bacterial small subunit ribosomal RNA
Source: RNAcentral
GAUGAACGCUGGCGGCGUGCCUAAUACAUGCAAGUCGAGCGAACGGACGAGAAGCUUGCUUCUCUGAUGUUAGCGGCGGACGGGUGAGUAACACGUGGAUAACCUACCUAUAAGACUGGGAUAACUUCGGGAAACCGGAGCUAAUACCGGAUAAUAUUUUGAACCGCAUGGUUCAAAAGUGAAAGACGGUCUUGCUGUCACUUAUAGAUGGAUCCGCGCUGCAUUAGCUAGUUGGUAAGGUAACGGCUUACCAAGGCAACGAUGCAUAGCCGACCUGAGAGGGUGAACGGACACACUGGAACAGAGAAACGGUCCAGACUCUUACGGGAGGCAGCAGUAGGGAAUCUUCCGCAAUGGGCGAAAGCCUGACGGAGCAAAGCCGCGGGAGUGAUGAAGGUCUUCGGAUCGUAAAACUCUGUUAUUAGGGAAGAACAUAUGUGUAAGUAACUGUGAACAUCUUGACGGUACCUAAUCAGAAAGCCACGGCUAACUACGUG